AGUAGUGUAUGGGGAUCUGCCCGAUAGAGGGGGGUAACUACUGGAAACGGUGGCUAAUACCGCAUAAUGUCUACGGACCAAAGCAGGGGCUCUUCGGACCUUGCACUAUCGGAUGAACCCAUAUGGGAUUAACUAGUAGGUGGGGUAAAGGCUCACCUAGGCGACGAUCUCUAGCUGGUCUGAGAGGAUGAUCAGCCACACUGGGACUGAGACACGGCCCAG
This 222-nucleotide ribosomal RNA is filed under the name uncultured bacterium. RNAcentral describes it as "partial 16S ribosomal RNA". It matches the Rfam family "Bacterial small subunit ribosomal RNA", at positions 109 to 334 of the family's 1533-position model. The record is from RNAcentral.